AUAUCACUAACUGAAAUACAGUGAAAAAGAAAUAUUUUUGUUUUCUAAUUAUAUAUUAACAAUAACAAUAUUGAAAAUGAAAAGCUUGUUUGUCGUUCUCGCCUUCUUCCUCGUCACAUUAAUUUGUGUUACCAGGAGUAACCCUUUGAAUGAUAUAGAGCAACAUGACAUGAAGAGUGUCGUUGAUUCAUCGACGGAGGUAGUGGAGCUAUUCAGUGGCGCGGGAGUCUCUCGUCAACGUAUCUGUACGGCAGCGCUGUGUCGCAGUGUGUGUCAGUCACUCGGAUUCCCGAUAUCCUUCUGCAACAUUCAACUCAUCUGUGUCUGCAGACGUUAAUAUAAAUCCAUGUACAAUGUUCUACAAAUAUGCUCACUAUUUUUAUGUGUCAAAUAAAUUCUUAUAUGUUUUAA
Molecule: long non-coding RNA, 411 nt
Organism: Leptidea sinapis
Lineage: Eukaryota; Metazoa; Arthropoda; Insecta; Lepidoptera; Pieridae
Exons: 2
Source: RefSeq, a predicted model, not a curated record